Molecule: ribosomal RNA, 338 nt
Filed under: Polythore procera
Lineage: Eukaryota; Metazoa; Arthropoda; Insecta; Odonata; Polythoridae
Description: partial large subunit ribosomal RNA
Source: RNAcentral
AACGGCCGCGGUAUCUUGACCGUGCAAAGGUAGCAUAAUCAUUAGUCCUUUAAUAUGGGACUGGAAUGAAGGGUUUAACGAGGAACUAGCUGUCUCAAUUUAAUUUAUUAAAAUUUAGCUUUUUAGUUAAAAGGCUUAGAUUUUGUUGGAAGACGAGAAGACCCUAUAGAGCUUUACAUUUACAUUUUGGGAACUUUAUUUUGGUUUAUUUUUAUAUUUCUUAAUGUAUGUGUUUUGUUGGGGUGACAUUAAAUAUAUAUUUAACUUUUAUUGUUUAAGAUCCAUUUAUUUAUGAAUAUUUGAUCCAUUCUUAAUGAUCGUUAGAAUAAGUUACCUUA